GAGACAGCAGUCGCCACGGUAAUUCGUAGGUGGCAAGCGUUGUCCGGAAUUAUUGGGCGUAAAGGGCGCGUAGGCGGACUGAUAAGUCAGGGGUGAAAUCCCAAGGCUCAACCUUGGAACUGCCUUUGAUACUGUUUGUCUUGAGUUCGAGAGAGGUAAGUGGAACUGCGAAUGUAGAGGUGAAAUUCGUAGAUAUUCGCAAGAACACCAGUGGCGAAGGCGGCUUACUGGCUCGAAACUGACGCUGAGGCGCGAAAGCGUGGGGAGCAAACAGGAUUAGAUACCCCCGUAGUCCCUGUCUCUUAUAC
Molecule: ribosomal RNA, 308 nt
Filed under: uncultured bacterium
Lineage: Bacteria
Description: partial 16S ribosomal RNA
Rfam family: Bacterial small subunit ribosomal RNA
Source: RNAcentral